Molecule: long non-coding RNA, 395 nt
Organism: Pogoniulus pusillus (Red-fronted tinkerbird)
Lineage: Eukaryota; Metazoa; Chordata; Aves; Piciformes; Lybiidae
Exons: 3
Source: RefSeq, a predicted model, not a curated record
UCUGCCUGGAGACAUAGGAACCAAACCUAACAGCAGACUUUGCACAGCUUCAAGAAUUCAGUGAAAAGUGUUGACAAAACACCAUCAUGUGGAGUCCUGGAAUAAAGACUUCCAAAAGAUUAUACAGAGAAACAGCCUAAUUUCUGACCACAUCACCAGCAUCUCUAUAAUUUGAUCAGCAAAUCAUCAUUAUGUUCACCCUGUCAGAGCACUGCAACAAAAAGCCCUCCAGUGCACCUUGUGUCUUUCCAGGCAAGUGCAGCUGUGAGCUGGACCCCCAGAUCCAACUGGAACUUAAAUUUCACUGGGAGAAAAAGGUUGUUCCUAAUUUACAAGACUUUAUCAGGUUUCACAGAGCUCACACCUGAACUGCUACUUCACAGGAAAGUUCAGGU